UCUGAGCAGUCAAUUAGUUGUCCUCCUUUAGGUUGACUACUUCUUGAUCGGACGGGUUGCUUUCAAGCAGCAGGAAGCUUCAGGCGAUAACAGGUCUGUGAUGCCCUUAGAUGUACUGGGCUGCACGCGUGAUACAAUGGCCGAGACAACAGGUCGGAUCUCCGUAAGGGCGAUUCAAAACUUCAAUCUCGGUCGUGCUUGGGAUGGACCAUUGUAAAUUGGUCCUGAACGAGGAAUUCCUAGUAAAUGUGCUUCAUCAUAGCGCGUUGAUUACGUCCCUGCUUUUUGUACACACCGCCCGUCGCUGUUUUCGAUGAUUGGUUUAAUGAGUUUAGCGGAUAGACAACGUGUUGUUUAGAAACUAACCAAAUUUGACCAAUUAAAGAUAGCAAAAGUCG
This 398-nucleotide ribosomal RNA is filed under the name Holomycota sp. clade GS01. RNAcentral describes it as "SSU rRNA". It matches the Rfam family "Eukaryotic small subunit ribosomal RNA", at positions 1341 to 1791 of the family's 1831-position model. The record is from RNAcentral.